This 426-nucleotide ribosomal RNA is filed under the name uncultured bacterium. RNAcentral's name for it is "bacterial SSU rRNA". It matches the Rfam family "Bacterial small subunit ribosomal RNA", at positions 354 to 796 of the family's 1533-position model. The record is from RNAcentral.
GUGGGGAAUUAUGCACAAUGGGCGAAAGCCUGAUGCUGCAACGCUGCGUGAAGGAUGAAGGUUUUCGGAUCGUAAACUUCUUUUAUCAGGGAAUAAUCUUGAAGGUACCUGAUGAAUAAGCACCGGCUAACUACGUGCCAGCAGCCGCGGUAAUACGUAGGGUGCAAACAUUACCCGGAUUUAUUGGGCGUAAAGAGUUCGUAGGCGGUUUUGUAAGUUGGAUAUUAAAUACUUCGGCUCAACCGAAGGACAGUAUUCAAAACUGCAUAACUUGAGGCAUGCAGGGGAAGAUGGAACUUGUGGUGUAGCAGUGAAAUGCGUAGAUAUCACAAGGAACGCCAAUGGUGAAGACAGUCUUCUGGGCAUAGCCUGACGCUGAGGAACGAAAGCGUGGGGAGCGAACGGGAUUAGAUACCCCUGUAGUCC